Molecule: small RNA, 612 nt
Filed under: Pan troglodytes (chimpanzee)
Lineage: Eukaryota; Metazoa; Chordata; Mammalia; Primates; Hominidae
Description: processed transcript
Source: RNAcentral
GAUCAGCCUGAGCCACGGCCGCGUCGUCUACAGCCCCGGGGAGCCGUUGGCUGGGACCGUGCGCGUGCGCCUGGGGGCCCCGCUGCCGUUCCGAGCCAUCCGGGUGACCUGCACAGGUUCCUGCGGGGUCUCCAACAAGGCUAAUGACACAGCGUGGGUAGUGGAGGAGGGUUACUUCAACAGUUCCCUGUCGCUGGCAGACAAGGCCACCGCACCCACGUCCUUUGAGGGUCCUUUCGGGAAGAUCGUGCACCAGGUGAGGGCCGCCAUCCACACGCCACGGUUUUCCAAGGAUCACAAGUGCAGCCUCGUGUUCUAUAUCUUGAGCCCCUUGAACCUGAACAGCAUCCCAGACAUUGAGCAACCCAACGUGGCCUCUGCCACCAAGAAGUUCUCCUACAAGCUGGUGAAGACGGGCAGCGUGGUCCUCACAGCCAGCACUGAUCUCCGCGGCUAUGUGGUGGGGCAGGCACUGCAGCUGCAUGCCGACAUUGAGAACCAGUCAGGCAAGGACACCAGCCCUGUCGUGGCCAGUCUGCUGCAGAAAGUGUCCUAUAAGGCCAAGCGCUGGAUCCACGACGUACGGACCAUUGCGGAGGUGGAGGGUGCGGG